GAAAAACUCCGGUGGUACAAGAUGGACCCGCGUCUGAUUAGCUGGUUGGUGAGGUAACGGCCCACCAAGGCAACGAUCAGUAGCCGGCCUGAGAGGGUGAACGGCCACAUUGGGACUGAGACACGGCCCAAACUCCUACGGGAGGCAGCAGUGGGGAAUAUUGCACAAUGGGGGAAACCCUGAUGCAGCAACGCCGCGUGAGUGAAGAAGUAUUUCGGUAUGUAAAGCUCUAUCAGCAGGAAAGAAAAUGACGGUACCUGACUAAGAAGCCCCGGCUAACUACGUGCCAGCAGCCGCGGUAAUACGUAGGGGGCAAGCGUUAUCCGGAUUUACUGGGUGUAAAGGGAGCGUAGACGGUUUUGCAAGUCUGAAGUGAAAGCCCGGGGCUUAACCCCGGGACUGCUUUGGAAACUGUAGAACUAGAGUGCAGGAGAGGUAAGUGGAAUUCCUAGUGUAGCGGUGAAAUGCGUAGAUAUUAGGAGGAACACCAGUGGCGAAGGCGGCUUACUGGACUGUAACUGACGUUGAGGCUCGAAAGCGUGGGG
This 545-nucleotide ribosomal RNA is filed under the name uncultured bacterium. RNAcentral's name for it is "bacterial SSU rRNA". It matches the Rfam family "Bacterial small subunit ribosomal RNA", at positions 201 to 766 of the family's 1533-position model. The record is from RNAcentral.